GAAAACUCAUAAGCCAAAGAAGUGGCUGGAUAAAACUUGCCGCAGUAGAUGUUUCAGCCGCGCCUAAUUUAUUGUCCCCCACCAUGUGCAAAAUCGGACUUGAAUUAUGCAACCUAAUACAGAAUACAUUGUACAAAUGUUCAUUUUGCAUAAUUUAUACUUUGACUGUAGAAACUAGUUUUUCUUGGUACAAUGGUUGGCAUCCCAUUGCAUGUUACAGAAUUUGUUUUAGCACAAAGUGCGGACAGGAAUCUAUCUAUGUAUUAUGUUUAUAAGCAACCAUUAAGAGGGGAAUAAACUUUCACUUUGUAGUAAAAAUGUAAGCAUGAAGACAGAUUCCCGAUAUUUAAAGUACGGAUUUACUUAGGCUAUUCCAAUCCCAAACAUACUGAACAGAAGGAGGAGCAAUUCUGACCUGACUGUCUACUUAUCACAGGCCAGUGAGUAGAGGCGUGUGCAUGUGCUUCUUUCUCUGUUCUCUGGUUGACUGUGCUAUGCUGGAUGCUCUACGUAACAAUCUGGUUUGUACAAUUAUUUCUCCUUACAAAGAGGAGAAAGAUUGUGCCACAUGGGCUUAAACAUGUGUGGCUUCGCACUCUACAUUAUUUAUUGGUUCAAUGAGAGAAGCACAUUCCUGCUGCUCCACUAUGAAAAUAAUGUUGAUGUUGGAGCAUGUGCAUGAACUAGAUCUUAAAUCUUACUUCUAUGUUAUUUGCAGUGCUGUGCUUGUUGCCACUGCCUUUUCAGUUACUUCCAGGGUGCAUCUGGUAACAUCUACCCUUACGACUGCACACAGCUCACAUUGAUCUUUAACAUGCUGUUAAGUUCUUUGUGUGCGGUUGGCCUACGCAAAACUUAUACCAUAUGGGUUGGGCAGGUAGAAGCAAUUGCAACCAAUGGCUGCCUUGCUAGAUGCAGCUGGUUUUUGCUAUUGAUGGGUUAUGCAGUCAUGGUGUCAUCUGUGCAAGGCUGGGGUGGAAACUGCCUCCAUGUGCCUACAGACAUCUUAAAUGCACCAAUGAUUCAUCCCUCAGACAUAUUAAAAUUGUGAGCACCUAAAUGCAAAAGAAUUGGUUUGUAUUUAUCUUGCUCUGACAAGUAAAACUAAAUCUGGGCAAAAUAUGAAAUGGCAGAAUUUUUCUUUCUGGCAAAAAAAUUCUUGAUGCCACUUCAAAUGGGAGCUUUGCUGUUCUUAGCAGCCCAUCUGCUUCCCUGGGACAGAAUUCCACAUGAGAACAGCCCUGCAUCAGGUUGUAAUAUCAUUCCCAGAGGCGUUCCCGGGGGCGCGGAGAGAGAUAGCUCUGCUCAUUGGCAAUGGGGGCAGCCAUUAGUUCCACUCCAAGAAAUGCCCAUGGGAAUGAUGUGACAUCAAAUUGCUGUGGUGUUCGCAUGAGGAGGUCUGUCUCGGGAACAUAGGAAGGGUGCUUUGGGAGGGCAAACUUCCUUCUUUUUUAGAAAAGAGAAAAAUAAAGAAAUAAAACAUUAUUUGAAAGUGUGAAACAACAACAGCAACGAACAGUUCUCAUCGUAGUUUUGUACCAGCUAUAUGGAGAGUAAUGUUAUUCACUAGGUUUCACUGGUCUUGGUAAUAUGUCAGGAAUUUCCUGUUACUGUUCUAUACUUGUUUGAGAGAGACAAUGUAUUUCUUUUCUAACUUUUUGACGUGUGUCUUCCUUCCAGGACAUCAGAACAGCUGACAUGUGAAUGAGAAGAUGGUGGUUUACAGUAAGAAGUGAAUUUGACCAUUUUGGUGGUGGUGGGUUUUUUGGGGGGGGGGAGUAUUACUGAGAUUUUUCAAAAAGUGAGAGAUUGCACCCUUUGUUCCUAAAGCAUUUGAAAAGCUAUUAAAAACAAUGGAGGGAUCAGCAACUACAAAAUGUGACAGUGCCUAUUAAUGCCAAAAAUGUUUCUGAUUUAUAACUUUAUGCAUCGUUGCAUGGAAAAUGAAUCCCUCAGGGAUGAUUGAAGACUGAAAAAAGCAGCUAAAAUGGAAAAGUCUAAAGGUUGAAAUUCUACCAUGGCGGCAGCUGUCCUUAACUCAACCCGCUGUGGCCAUAUGUAACCAUGGCUGUGACCUGCAGCCCUGUUCAUGUGUUAUGCCUGAAGAGGGAACUGGAAGUGGAUGCACAUGCCAGCACCACAACCAACAUCCAUGCAUACUCUAGCAUGCCUGACCUCAAUUUCAGCAGGAAGGCCUGAAGGGGAAAUGUAAGCAUGUUCAACUGAACACCUUUAUAUUCCUCCUUGUAAAUGGGAAUCAUAAUUGUGCUGGGUUUUCAGGCAUGGGGAGGCUCAUAAACACCUUCCCAAUUUAUUACAGCAUUGUGUAAAGGCUGCAUGUCCCAUUUUUACAGUUUCCCUUGUAUGAUACCAUCUUACCCUUGGCAACUUCCCUAAAAUAUAGCUGACUCAGGUUGGUCAAACCAUCACAAGAGUGCUAUCAAACAGGCCAAGUGUGCAUCCUCAGCAGUAGCUCGCAUUCAUUUUCUGAAAGGUAACCAAUUUAUACCAGCUGCCAUUCAAAUUUUUCAAGCUAAAGCGUCAUCCCAGCUACAUUUUGGGAUCCCAAUAUGGAUACAAGCAUAUAACAGUGAUUUAGAUACCGGUAAGAUACACUCAGGUUUCCUGAGACGUAUCCUGGGGCUCCCAAGUUCAAUCAAGUAUGAGACAGUGUGUGCAGAACUAGGUAUAUACACGAUGGGAUAUUGGGCCAGCACUAUAAAAUAGUGAUUGCGUUGCCAUUUCUGUUGCCAGCCUUUGAGUCUGCUCUCUGACUUACUUAAAGGCUCUUAUUAUCAAUCCAGAUGGUUCCAACUCUUACAUAGCAAAAUCAGAUCUAUUAGUAUUGACUUGCAACUCUUGUAUAAUUCAAGUGAGCAAUAUAUUUAUUGUAAUAUUCUAACCAAAUUAAGGGACAUUGAAAAACAAAACAUUGAGUCAGCUAUAAAUAAAAUUUGCUCCCCCAAGUUCUUUGGUUUAAAUACAACAGAUAACAGGGUCACAUAGUUCAAAAUUAGUAAUUCCAGGUGGUUGUCACCGAUGGAAGCGAAGGCUCAGAAAAAGCUCAAUAUGGAGGCCAAAUGGCCGAAAUAUUGGGAAAUUUUGGAACAAGAGGGAGAUAAAUUGAAACUGCAGAGUUUUGAAAAACUAAAAAAUAAAGUGCGAGAUUGGCUUCAUUAUUAUCAGAUAAUGGAGGCAUAUAAUUUGGAUAAGAAAAUUGGCUUCCAGGUGGAAAAAUCAAAAUUGGAAACAGAACUGUUAGACUUCAAAACCAAGAUUUUGUCAAAGAUGUAUAACUUGCUGUUGAAAUGGAAUACUCAGGAUGAAAUGGUGAAAUCUGCUAUGAUUAAAUGGGCACAAGAUGUUGGACAUAACAUAAUGGUGGCUGACUGGGAACAGUUAUGGACCACAGGUAUGAAGUUUACGGCAUGUAAUGCCUUAAGAGAGAAUAUUAUGAAAAUGAUUUACAGGUGGUACAUGACACCAGUCAAGCUUGCAAAAAUCUAUCAUUUGCCCGAUAAUAAAUGUUGGAAAUGUAAAGAAACUGAAGGUACAUUCUUUCACCUUUGGUGGACGUGCCCAGGGAUUAAGGCUUUCUGGGAGAUGAUUUAUAAUGAAAUGAAAAAGGUAUUUAAAUAUACCUUCCUGAAGAAACCAGAGGCCUUUCUCCUGGGCAUGGUCGGCCAAUUGGUGCCAAAGAAGGAUAGAACUUUCUUUAUGUAUGCUACAACAGCAGCAAGAAUACUUAUUGCAAAGUAUUGGAAGACACAAGAUUUACCCACUCUGGAAGAAUGGCAGAUGAAGGUGAUGGACUAUAUGGAACUGGCGGAAAUGACUGGCAGAAUCCGAGACCAGGGAGAAGAGUUGGUGGAAGAAGAUUGGAAGAAAUUUAAAAACUAUUUACAGAAAUACUGCAAAAUUAAUGAAUGUUAGAAUGAUGUUGGAUUGAAGUUAAGUGGUUUUUAGCAGUAAUGUUAUAAAGGAAUAUGUAAAAAAGGAUUGUUAACAGGUGAUAAUUUAAAGCUAUAAUAUAUUAAGAUAAAAGAUUAAGAUAAAAUCAAAGAGGGAAAGGAAUUGCUGAAUUAACUAAUUGAACUGGAAUACAAAAAAGGGAGGUGUGAGGAGGUCAGGGAAACAAGCAAAUGAAAAGAUAUGGAAAGACUGACUUGUUUUUAACUGUUUUUACCUUGUAUUUAUUUUCGUUUUUUUAUUUUCUUUUACUUUUUUCUCUUAUUUUUGUAAUAUGCUGAAACUUUAAUAAAUAUCUUAUUAAAAAAUAAAUAAAUUACUAAUUCCAGCCUUGGUUAGCCCGACUGAACGUUUUCCCUUCAGCUUUUCCAAGGGCAAAACAUCCCCAGAAACAAUAGGCAUUGCAGACGUUCUUUGAAUGUGCCAGACAGUAGAACAUAUUCUUUUCUACUGUCCAUUGUACAACGAGCUACACAAAUGCGUGCUAUUCCACUUUUUUGGGUAGUCCAACAUCAUGGCACAAUGAAAUCAGAUUCUAUCUGUCUGAUAUUAACCCAGAAGUAACUGCAAGGGUGGCUGAGUUUUUAUCAAUAGUAUCUCUUAGAGUGGUUAAUGAAAAUCCUCGUUAUUACAUAUUUUUACAUGGCUGUUUAUUUGUAUAUAUUUCAAAAUUUUAUAUACCGAUGUUUUAUGAUGGCCUAUAUUUGUAAUGCCUAAUAAAGGUUUGGCGAAGUAAGUAAGUUGAUGCAAAGUCAUUUUCUCUUGAUGUUCACUCUGUGGUUCUCCUGCUAAAAUAUCGUCACCCUGAGGGCUUCCGAUUCACAACUGAGUAAUUUUACUCUGUCUAUUCAGGCCCUUUGUGAAUUGAAUGGAUAUUAUUGCUUCAGAUCCCCUCGCUCCUAGAUGCAUGAUAUUGUCCUUGGAAUCAUGAAUGGCUUUUGCUGUGGGAUCACAAUUUUCAGAAAUGCUGCCUUCCAUAGCUGCUAUUCUCUGGAAUUAUAUUAAAACUUCUAAAAUAUGUAGUAUCAAAUACCACAUGUAUUAAUCUAGGGAGCAUAUGAAAGUACUGCAUAUAUUAAUUGUAUCUCAUCACUUCAAUACCUUGAGUUAUGCACAAAAAAUAAUGAAUAUAUAAUCACCAAACCCAAGUAAGAUAGUGAAGUAUUUUUAGCAUGAAUAUUUUGGGACAUGGAAAGACAUUGCUUAGACAAAAUAAACACUAACUAACUUUUAUAUUGAACAUUUCUCUGUAUGUGGUAUGUUCUUGGAAUCAUAUUUUAUCCCUUAACUUGUUUGCUAGGAUAGUAGUCAGAUUUGGGCAUUCUUAUGGAAUUAACUGCAUUGAUCAACAUGUGAACCAUGUGAACCAUUUGUUGUCCCUAGAGCAAGAGGCACUGGACCAAAAAUCAAAUAAAAACCAAACCAGGUUACGAGUUAAUCACUGAAUAUGCAAAAUUCUUACCUAUGAAAGACGUAGUCUGGAUAAAUGGCAUUUUAGGGGGUAACAGUGCUAUUUAACUUGUUCACAAAUGAUCUAACAUUUGGGUUGGGCAGCGGUGUUUCAGAUUGCACCAAAUUAUUCAGGAUGGUGGAAAACCAAGCCAUUCGUGAAAGGAAGAAUGGACAACAUAUUGGCAAGUCAUGUUCCAUAAAAGUGUAUAGUAAUGCAUAUUGAGGGGGAGGGCUGAGUUUGCAUAUACAGGGAGGAGUUCUAAAAAUACUUUGAUUACCCAAGAAAGAUAUCUUGGUGAAAAGUCCCCUGUAAAAAUUAGAUCUACAUGCUUAUAUGACAAUGGGGGAAAUGGCAGAUUCAGUGGUAGAAAUUAAUGCAAUUAUGGAUUGAGUACAGUGUAAUUUUUGGCUACCCUAUCUUUCUAUAUAAAGAGACGUGGAUAUGUAGAGCUGCAUAAGCUGUGGGAAAGGGCAAUAAAAUGAUCAAUGGAGUCUUCUCUUCAAGGGCUUUAAAAAGUUUACAAAGGAGAUUUCUACUAGAAAUCUGUUAAAUCCCGAAUGCCAGAGAGAUUAAUAUAUGUCUAAUAACUCUAGAAAAUGAGAUCAUUCAAAGAAAUUGGCAGUAGGUACAGGACUGACCCACGUAAAAUUCUCCUUCACAAACUACUUAAAUGUUAUUCAUUAUUGCCACAUGAUGCUGCAUCCAGUUAGAUUAAUUCAAAGGGAAAUCCAUGGAUGGCAGAACUAUUAAUUGCUCUCGUUCAGCGCCAUAUUGAAUAUGUUUAUUCAGGUAAAGGAGAAAACAGGCAACCAUUUCUAUGGCAGAGGUUGUGGGGAUAUCAUAGCCAUCCACAUACUCUUGGUAAAUAGAAUGGAAGAAAUGGAAGAAACUGAGUUUUGAUUUUGAUUUCAUUUUCUGGGGCGGGGGGCAUAAAGUUGCAUUGGACACCAGUAUUAAGGAUGAUUUAUAUUGGAUAUGGGUCUUAAGCUUUGUUGUACUGAGGGACAAUAUUCUGGUUUUCAUGUUCUUGUAGACGUCUGUAGUUAAUUAUCUUAUUGCCACUAUAUAGGGAGACUCUUGAAAGACUGGACAAUUGCUGCUGCAUAUUGUCAUUGUUGACAAUGAUCCAACAAAUUUAUGUACAGAUACCUGGUAGUUUCUUUAAUGUUUCUACUGCAAUCUCCUGUUUCAAUGCUAUGAAUUGUUCCCUGAAUAAGUCUCAUGCUAAACACCACCUUAUUGUUGUCUAGAGCAUUGUCUAGAGCAGCCUUAUUGUUGUCUAGAGCAUGGUGCUGAUAACCCCAAGGUUGCAGGUUUGACUCCCAUAUGGGACAACAGUAUAUUCCUGCAUUGCAGGGGUUGGACUAGAUGAUCCUCAAGGUCCCUUCCAUCUCUGAUUCUGUGAUUACAGAUAUAGGUGGAUUUUUGGCUUGGGCAUUAGUUGUCUAUCUGUUCCAGCCCCCCCC
Molecule: non-coding RNA, 6888 nt
Organism: Podarcis lilfordi (Lilford's wall lizard)
Lineage: Eukaryota; Metazoa; Chordata; Lepidosauria; Squamata; Lacertidae
Source: the annotation of a GenBank genome assembly